Molecule: non-coding RNA, 240 nt
Organism: Gammaproteobacteria bacterium
Lineage: Bacteria; Pseudomonadati; Pseudomonadota; Gammaproteobacteria
Source: Rfam
AAAGAGCUAUCGGAAAAGCGCGACCGAGCGCAUUUCGUACUGAGCCUUGGGCCUGAUGUGGUAACGCGUCGGACUAAGCGUAGGCACAGGACAUUACAGGCCGUAAACCGAAAGGCUGAAGCGAUUGAGCUCCGUUAAUAAUCUUAUGAAGGGUGGCUGAUGGCCUCGAAAAGUCAGAAAGCAACAAUAGAUACAGCGUUAAUCGGCAGGUGUAUUUAUCAUCCUCGGAGUCAGAGAGCA